Lineus longissimus is the source of this 650-nucleotide long non-coding RNA. RefSeq lists it as uncharacterized. Lineage: Eukaryota; Metazoa; Nemertea; Pilidiophora; Heteronemertea; Lineidae. The transcript is spliced from 3 exons. The record is from RefSeq and is a predicted model, not a curated record.
UAGAUAGAGGCAGCCUACAUAAGGCUGACGUUACAUAGGCCUCAUUCGUUCACUUCCCACAUGUCAUGUUCCCCUUAAUGCGUUCGUUCCUCACUGAAUGCAUGCCACAAGGCCGUGCAUUCACCGAGGAACGUUAAGUAAAGCUGGAACGUGACAUGUGGGAAGUGAACGAAUGAGGCCUAUGUAACGUCAUCCUAAUGUCCAUAACACAAUGUGCACUUGGAAGAGCAUUAUGAAGAGAGAAAAAUGGUAUUAAUUCGUUGCUUUGGCACACCAAACAUGCCAGGAACUGGAAACUGAGUAAAGUUUGGAACAACCGCUGUCUAACGUUACAAACAAGUGACCACGAAUAAACCAGGUUUGCCGAAAUGGAUAUGGAUAAUACAUCAACAAACUCUCAAGAUCACAGCUAUUCCAAUCCAGCAGGAAAUGUUAUGAAGCAACCUCCCAAGAGUCACAGAUACUGCUGUGUACCUCACUGCACCAGUCGUGGUUACAACAAAGAUGAUGAGCAUGGUGAAAAAUUGCACCACUUCAGAUUUCCAGAUUUUUUGGUGCAAAUACUAGUAGUACAACUGUAUUGAUGCUUUCUCUUUUUCUGUAUCUAUUAUCCUUGAAAAUACAUACUACUAAUGUCAUUGGCAUUAAAA